Molecule: long non-coding RNA, 3316 nt
Organism: Leopardus geoffroyi (Geoffroy's cat)
Lineage: Eukaryota; Metazoa; Chordata; Mammalia; Carnivora; Felidae
Exons: 4
Source: RefSeq, a predicted model, not a curated record
GGAGGAUUAACACAACAAUUUGCACAACCUGAACCACAGAAUUCAGCAGUUACAGGGAUCUUAAUUUCUGACUUUUGGCCUUUGAAUUUGUCAAGUCAAGCCACUGCCAUGCUUUGGGAAACCAGAAGACACAUCUUGCUUUCUGCAGGUCUUUUCAGAGGUGUGUCAUUUUCUAUGGUGUGUGUCAUUGCUCUAAUAUGCUUUUCCCAAUCGAUGGAAAAUGGAGACCAUUUUAAAGUUUCAUUAGCUUCAUGAUGCCUUAUCCUGUUCGUCAUCCUGCUCGCCUGCUAUUAGAGGGCAAUUACUUGAUGAGCUCUCUUAGAAGAAUGAAAAUGCUAAAUGAUGUUCACUUAGUGGCAACUUAAAAAUCUGAUCUCAUUUCUGAUCCAGAGUUCCUGCUAUAGAAGAAACUCAGUAAAACGUUGGGGGAACUUCAUCAAGAUGGAAACAAGCUAGUUCCUACUGGAACAGAAUAUGGUUUAAAAAAAAAUCCUAGUGCAUCUUUCUCUCAAAAAUUUGACUAUUCUUAUUGUUCAAAUGAGUGACCUUCAUCUAUUUCCACGUUAUUUGAACCACCUUCCAAUGUGAAAGUGGCAGGAUUUUCUUCAUAAAUUAAAAUGGCUAAAACAUGUCUUCAUUCUGUCCCUACUUCAAAUAGGCUUACUCUUAGGUUUUUUAAUGCCCUGUUUACAACUCAUCAUUUUGGCUUUUAUAUGACUUUGUGUGGCUUCUCCAGAGUACUGUCCACAGUUUCUGUCAUGAAUUUGCAUCCCUUUCUCUUUUAAAGCAUAAUAAAUAGAAAUAGCAAUGUCAAAUGACAACAGAGGAGUCAAACUGAAAACUCUAAGAAGACUCCUCAGAAUCCACUCAGCUAGAAUGAAAAAACAUUGCUCCACCAAGUUAAGAUGCUGUGAACCAUUAACAUGUUUAAACUUUGGUAAAACCUAUUUCAGAAUUUGCUGCUUGCUUAAACUUUCCUGGGAGACUCAGAAAAAUAAAAAGAACACACACAAUGAAUAGCCACCCCUGUUGAGAAAUAGGUAUUAUACACCCAGAAAAGGAAAUAAGGUUGGACCCACAUAACAAAUGUUAUGUACAAGAUGUAAGUUACCAAUAGGCAGACUUCCUUAUGGACAGAGCAAAUUCCACACAAAGAAGAGGAAUUAUAUUAACUACACGCCCACCCAACCUGUCUGCUCCUCCCAGAAUUUCCAGUCAAGGAAAUACAAGAAGGAUAACACCAUCUGGGAAAGGAUUUCUGAACCAGAGUCUCAUUCAGAAUGCUAUUACUUUUUAAGGCAGUGAUCCAAAAAUUGAGCGUUACAGUAGACUAGUGAUUAUACGAGCAGCUCAAGCCAAGCUAGAGGGGAGGAAGUGAUCGCACAUCUGCUCUGACUUUAAUGCCAGCCUCUGUUCCUGACACUAAGCCCUCAGAGAGCAGAGAGUGGGAGUGCUUAAACUGGGUACCAUAUAAAUUAAUCAGAGUCAAGCUAGUUACAGAUAAACUCAUCCAACCUGAUACACCUCCAUUGUAUUAGGAAAUAAAGAAUAUAAAUAAAUUAGUUGUGGAGUUGUGUUCUGUAAAAUAUUUCAUUUACCUUUAUGAGUCCUUAAUAUUUUAAAUAUUGCAUAGAUAUUGUAUAGAUACCAACUCAUUUGAAAAACAUAGUUUCCUCUACUAGAUAAGUGUGCUGCAAUCGUAGGUUAAAGAGGAAAAAAGUUGUGAGUCAUGUUUCUUUACGAGAAUGACCCAAAAGGGAGCUUCUUACCUUGCUAUUCCUUAGUGUAUAACCAUGAACAAUUUGUUUUACCUCUCUGUCUCAGAUGCUUUAUUUUUAAGGAAAAGAGAUUGUCCUAGAUCAAUUGUAAUGGAACUUCCAGCUCUAACAUUCAGUGAUCAUUCAAUGAUCACAAUUUUUUCUAUGUUGACAUCAGAUUUAGGUUAUUUCAUUUUAUUCCAAGUCAGAGGCAAGAAAACUGAGAACAUAGAAUUAAAUGUUCACCCAUAAAUACUCUGCCCAGGAUCCUUUCUAUUUGGUUUUGAUAGAGAACAAACCAUUCAGAUUUUCCAGUUAGUUAUAAUUCAAAAGAGGUAUAACUGAUAGCUGUAUUUGUGUCACUCUGUGCUCAGCAUCCUACAAACUGCUUGGCAUGUGUUGGCUCAUCUGAUCUGCAUGACAACCCUGAGGAAAUCAACUCAGAAAAAUAAAAAUGUAUCCAUUUUCUCAGCUUUAGAAAGUAAAGUGACUGAGUUACUGGACACUGUAUGCUUUUGUGCACCUAGAAGGGAGCCAAAUCUACUUGAGAUAAAUUUGGAGCCAAGUAUAUCUGGAAUCAAAUCUCAGACUGAGCAAGAUUCUUGGUAUGGCAUCCAGGAAUCAGCAAGCCUUGCAAGAGACAUCUGUGACAUGUGUCAUGAAUUCACAGCAAUGACAUCUUCAAGGUGGCCCACUGGUGCUUCUCAGUGUUUCCCUAAGUCCAGAGCAGCAUAUCUGCUGAUGGUAGCAGAACACCUGAAGUUCCAAAAUGCCUACAGGGGUGAACAAGGAAAUAUCACAGAAUACAACAGGAGACUUUCUUGGGUUGCAUGAUCCUGGCAUAUAAAAAAAUAACAAAUAAAAAAAUUGGCAGACCAAUGGUGAUCUGGCUGGUACUACUAUUGCUGCUUUCUGAGAGCUUGCCCUGGCACUAGCAUCCGCAGCUAACCAGGCAUGUUCAAGUUACCCCUUUUUAGCAGUAAGUUGGAGAACCGGGACUGGGUCCUGGGCAUAAAAGAACCAAAACCCACUGUGACACACAAUUAAAAUUUGCACUAUAUUGACAGUAAGCACUGCCUUAGCUUCUCUUGCUCUCACUCCAUUCAUAUUAUUUACCCUAGAACCUCCCAAAUGCAAUUUGGAGCCUCUCACCUAAACUUCCUGAAGGGAGAAUCUUCCAUAGUGAUGAAUGCAGUUUUUACAUAUGUGAAAACCACCAAAUAUCUCCAACCAGGAAAACAAUUCUGGUUCUGUUUUUAAAAAUAGUUUAUUCUUUUUCUUGUAUUUUCUUCUGCUCUGUAGCAUGCUCUGAGUUACUUUAUGCCCCCCCUAAAGCCAUAAGUAUUAUCAGUUCUCUAAUUUGAAUGAACCACUGUACCUGACAGGUUGCAGCAAACAAGGCAAAUAACAUGGAGGACAGUCAGCUACUUAGACAAUUGUAUUUAGGGUCCAAUUAAAUUUGCACGCUCAUAUGCUUUUAACUGGCUGCAUGUUAUAACAAUAAGAAAUAAGAAAAACAAAAACAAAACGCUAUUUUAAAGUGAAAAGAGACAUGAGCA